GGGGGUUGGGCAGUCAGCAGGGUUUUUUGAGUCAAAGUGACAGCAGGGUCCUCUCAGGGACAUUUGCAAAGGAAUGGAGUGGCACUGGGCUCUUUCUGUGCCUAAGUGUGGACUUUAGAGACAGGCUGGCCUGAAUUAAAAUCCCAGCUUGGCCAUUUUCUAGCUACAUGAGCUUUAACAUGUUUUGUAAUUUCUUUGACCACAAUCUCUGCCUUCAUUAAAGUGAGGACUAUAAUAUCUACUUGGGCAGGGAUGCACACACAUACACACACACACACACCAUGCUUGGUUUAUAAAACGAACUCAUUUGAUGUCUAUAUUUUGUUAUACAAUAAUAAGUUAUUCAUAUGAUAUAUAUAUAUUUUUUUUAAAUGGAGUCUUGCUCUAUCAUCAGGCUGGAGUGCAGUGGUGAGAUCUCGAGGCUUGCUGCAACCUUCACCUCCCAGGUUCAAGUGAUUCUCCUGCCUCAGCCUCCAGAGUGGCUGGGACUACAGGCCCAGCAUCCUUUUCCACUCGGAGCAUAGGGCUGAAACCGAGAGGCGAUUUCUCUACUUUGCUGGCUGUGUUUCCUGAGCAAGGUGAGCUUAUCAUUUUUCUUUCAGCUCCCAGCUAACAGAGAAGUUCCUCGGGCAAAAACAAAAAUGCACAAACACAAAAAAAUAAUGAGAGUUGGAACAAAAACACAAAUGUCCUCUGCCUUGCUCCAGUGUUUGGAAAAAUAAACUUGCCGGACAGGGGGCAUUGAAUUACUUCUUCAACAGGCAGG
Molecule: long non-coding RNA, 766 nt
Filed under: Callithrix jacchus (white-tufted-ear marmoset)
Lineage: Eukaryota; Metazoa; Chordata; Mammalia; Primates; Cebidae
Description: lncRNA (ENSCJAG00000070809.1)
Source: RNAcentral